RNAcentral lists this ribosomal RNA (463 nucleotides) under uncultured bacterium. Its description in RNAcentral is "partial 16S ribosomal RNA". It matches the Rfam family "Bacterial small subunit ribosomal RNA", at positions 28 to 507 of the family's 1533-position model. The record is from RNAcentral.
GAUGAACGCUGACAGAAUGCUUAACACAUGCAAGUCGAUGGGGAAGUGGUGCUUGCACCAUGGCAACCAUGGCGGACGGGUGAGUAACGCGUAAGGGACUUACCUGCAGGACUGGGAUAACAGGGGGAAACUCCUGACAAGACCGGAUAAUGUCAUGGAGCUGCAUGGCUUUAUGAUGAAAGGAGACGCCUGCGGAGAGCCUUGCGUCCUAUUAGCUAGUUGGUGAGGUAAUGGCUCACCAAGGCGAAGAUAGGUAGCCGGCCUGAGAGGGUGGACGGCCACAAGGGGACUGAGAUACGGCCCUUACUCCUACGGGAGGCAGCAGUGGUUAAUAUUGGACAAUGGGGGCAACCCUGAUCCAGCAAUUCUGUGUGAACGAAGAAGGUUUUCGGAUUGUAAAGUGCUUUCAGCAGGGAAGAAGUAAGUGACGGUACCUGCAGAAGAAGCGACGGCUAAAUACGUG